UCGCUCUUCAACGAGGAAUCCCUAGUAAGCACAAGUCACCAGCUUGUGCUGAUUACGUCCCUGCCCUUUGUACACACCGCCCGUCGCUACUACCGAUUGAAUGGCUUAGUGAGGCCCUCGGAUCGACUUUCUGAGACUGGCAACAGUCUCUGAUUGUUGAGAAGUUGGUCAAACUUGGUCAUUUAGAGGAAGUAAAAGUCGUAACAAGGUUUCCGUAGGUGAACCUGCGGAAGGAUCAUUAAUGAUUUGGCGAACCUAACGUUAGUUAGGUUUUGCGAUCACUUAUUUAAAACCCAACUCUUAAAUGUAUAAAUUAUAUUUCUUGAUAAAAAAAAUAAAGAUCACUUUCAACAACGGAUCUCUUGGCUCUCGCAUCGAUGAAGAACGUAGCGAAGUGCGAUAAGUAAUGUGAAUUGCAGAAUUCCGUGAAUCAUCGAAUCUUUGAACGCAAAUUGCACUUUCUGGUAUUCCGGAAAGUAUGCCUGUUUGAGGGUCAGUUAAAUAAAAAUCGGUGUUAUUGCUAUUAAUGGUGAUUGCAUCGGAAUUGAGUCGUCUUUACCUUUGGUUUAAGUGACUUAAAAUUAUGUACGAUUUCUGAACGUAUUUAAAUUAUUUACUUACGCUCAUGAUAUCACAUAUUAGGUGCGGUCAUCCACAUGAUUUCGCGCCUAUAAUUUUUUCAUUAUUUGACCUCAAAUCAGGUAAGAAUACCCGCUGAACUUAAGCAUAUCAAUAAGCGGAGGAAAAGAAAAUAACAAUGAUUCCCUUAGUAACGGCGAGUGAAGGGGGAUAAGCUCAAAUUUUAAAUCUGCUAGGUUUUACUUAUCAGAGUUGUAAUUUGAAGAAGCGUUUUCCGCGUCUCGGUUGACCCAAAUCCUUUGGGAUAUGGUAUCAUGGAGGGUGAGAAUCCCGUCCGGUUGACUUUGUGACGCUUUACGAUACGUUUUCAAAGAGUCGAGUUGUUUGGGAUUGCAGCUCAAAAUGGGAGGUAAAUUUCUCCUAAGGCUAAAUAUUGGCGAGAGACCGAUAGCGAACAAGUACCGUGAGGGAAAGAUGAAAAGAACUUUGAAAAGAGAGUAAAAUAGUACGUGAAAUUGUUGAAAGGGAAACGAUUGAAGUCAGUCGUACCGACGGAAAAUCAACUCUUCGAGUGCGGACUUUGUGGACGUGCGUGAGUUUUACGACCUCGCUGUUUGUAACGUUUGUGCUUUUUGGGUGUACUUUUUCGUAUGGUAGGCCAACGUCAGUUUUGAUCGCUAUAAAAUGACCGGAGGAAUGUAGCUUCGAUCUCGUAUUGAAGUGUUAUAGCCUUUGGUAGAUGUGGUGAUCGAGACUGAGGAUUGCAACGAAUAUCCUUUGGGCUAUCCGUCUGAUCUCUGAAAGUCGCUUAGGUGCCGAAAGCUUGCUUACGGUCAUUUAAGUUUGACGGUCAAAAGGUUAGAACGUGAUUACAUUCGUUAAGGAUGUUGGCGUAAUGGCUUUAAACGACCCGUCUUGAAACACGGACCAAGGAGUCUAACAUAUAUGCGAGUGUU
Molecule: ribosomal RNA, 1535 nt
Filed under: uncultured Glomus
Lineage: Eukaryota; Fungi; Glomeromycota; Glomeromycetes; Glomerales; Glomeraceae
Description: eukaryotic LSU rRNA
Rfam family: Eukaryotic large subunit ribosomal RNA (bases 688-1535)
Source: RNAcentral